This 2131-nucleotide ribosomal RNA is filed under the name activated sludge metagenome. Its description in RNAcentral is "bacterial LSU rRNA". It matches the Rfam family "Bacterial large subunit ribosomal RNA", at positions 667 to 2008 of the family's 2925-position model. The record is from RNAcentral.
UGUAGUGAAAGCGAGUGUUAAUAGCCCGCAUUGCACUUCACUUUUACGCAUUAAGCAAUUAGUGCGUUAAAGUGAAGUACACGUCGCAUGGACAAGACCCGAAGCCGGGUGAUCUAACCAUGUCCAGGUUGAACUCUGUCGAAAGGCAGAGGAAGGACCGAACCCACGAGCCGUGCAACACUCGGGGAUGAGAGGUGGUUAGCGCAGAAAUUGUAAUCGAACUCGGCAAUAGCUGGUUCUCCUCGAAAUAGUUUUUGGACUAGCCUCGAGUGCUGACUGCGGGGGGUAGAGCACUGGAUGAGGGCGGGUCGCAAGAUACCGUCUUCAAUCAAACUCCGAAUACCCGUAGGUGCAGCUCGGGAGUCAGACCAUGGGCGCUAAGGUUCAUCGGUCAAAAGGGAAACAGCCCAGACCACAAUCUAAGGUCCCUAAAUAUAAGCUAAGUGUAAAAGGUGGUGUUGUGACCGCGACAAUUAGGAGGUUGGCUUAGAAGCAGCCAUCCUUUAAAGAUAGCGUAAUAGCUCACUAAUCAAGUUGUUUCGCGCCGAAAAUUUACCGGGGCUAAGCAUAUUACCGAAGAUGUGGACUCUAUGAUUUAUCGUAGAGUGGUAGAGGAGCAUUCUCUUCAGCGUUGAAGUCGUGUCGUGAGGCAUGGUGGAGCGGAGAGAAGUGAGAAUGUUGGCAUGAGUAGCAGAAAGGCGGGUUAAAAUCCCGCCCACCGAAAAUCUAAGGUUUCCUGGGCAACGAGAAUCGACCCAGGGUUAGUCGAUCCUAAGGUGUAUCUAAUGUAGUGUUAGAAUAACCGAUGGAAGAGCUGGUUAAUAUUCCAGCACUACUGUGUUUUUCCGAAGGAGGGACGCGGUUCUAAAGUUUGAGCGGGCACUGGUAUGUCCGUUGGGGGUUUCAAGAGGCGGCCUAGGCAAAUCCGGGCCAACAGCUUCAAGAAACAGCCAGAAGAUGAAGUCGCAAGAUGGAGUCAAUUCAAGUGGCAGAGCCGACGAGAAAAACUUCUAGGGCUAAGGGCACAGUAUCCGUACCGUAAACCGACACAGGUAGAUGAGGCGAGAAGCCUAAGGUGUACGAGAGAACCUUCGCUAAGGAACUCGGCAAAACAGCGGCCGUAAUUUCGAGAUAAGGCCUGCCCUGCGCAAGCAGGGCCGCAGCUAAAGAGCUCAAGGGACUGUUUAUCAAAAACACAGCUCUCUGCUAACUCGCAAGAGGAUGUAUAGAGGGUGAUGCCUGGCCAGUGUCCGAACGUUAAGAGGAGAGGUUAGCCCUUCGGGGCAAAGCUUUGAAUCCAAGCGCGGAUGAACGCCGGCGAUAACUAUAAUCGUCCUAAGGUUUUGCGGUUUAUCAUAUAGACCGCAAAAGACUGGGACGAUUAUAAAUUGAUAAAUAACAAAGUUCGUUGCCUAGCUAUGGCGAAAGCCAUGGUUGUCUAAAAUACUCAGUAAAAUGCGUGAAAAUCCUCAAAAGAUCAAAAGUACUCGGGGUGUCUACUCCAGUAAAAAUCUCUUGAUACACGGGGCAAACGCGCAGGAUUAAUAAUCCUCAGAGACUUAAAAACUGAGACUCUAAAAUAUGAAGGUGAAUCCCUAUUGGGUUAGCGGAUUUGUUGAUGGUGAGGGUACAUUUUAUGUUGGCAUUAAUCAUAACGAUUCGAUGAAAUCUGGUUUUCAAGUAUUACCGGAAUUCAGAGUUGUCCAACAUGAGAAAGAUAUCAAAGUGUUAUAUGCGCUUAAGACUUAUUUCGGAGCUGGCGUCGUCAGAGUAAAUCAUGACACGCGUCAGGAACUUCGAAUAAGAUCGUUAGACCAUAUAAACAGAUAUGUCAUCCCCCACUUCGAUAAAUAUCCGCUCCUAACUCAAAAGAAAUUUGAUUAUUUCAAGUUUAAGGAGAUUAUAAAGUUGAUGAAUUCCGGUCAACAUUUGACCAUUGAAGGCAUCAAACAUAUCAUCACUAUCGCUUCAAGAAUGAACAGGCAGAAUAAAGAAUCAGCGCCGUUUAUCUUAGAAGCAUUAAACUCAUAUCACGAGUAAGAUAAAGUCCAUUCUUAAUAGAAAUAUUAAGUAAGUGAAGAGCGAAAUUCCUUGUCGGGUAAGUUCCGACCUGCACGAAUGGCUUAACCAC